This 278-nucleotide long non-coding RNA is filed under the name Vigna radiata. Its description in RNAcentral is "long non-coding RNA (VRAD_LNC007359)". The record is from RNAcentral. Lineage: Eukaryota; Viridiplantae; Streptophyta; Magnoliopsida; Fabales; Fabaceae.
GGUUUUUCUUCUAUAAUUUGGAGACACCUUAAUCCUAUAAAUAGAGGUGUCUCCCUUAAAGUAAAUUCAUUUUGAGAUUAGUAUUGAAAUGCUGCUAAAUUUUUAUAUCAUUUUACUUGUCUCUAAAAUCAAGGUUAGAGUAUUCCAUGUGGUCUCCUCUAACUAUCUUUCUUAAGAGUUGGUCUAACCAUUCUUAAGAGCACCCAACAUCACCAUUACCCCCUUUCUAACAUCCAAAUCCAUCAAUGCUCCCCACCAUACAUCCCUUUUGCUUCCGC